UACGGGGGGUGCAAGCGUUGUUCGGAAUCAUUGGGCGUAAAGAGCGUGUAGGCGGCGUGAUAAGUCAGAUGUGAAAGCCCUGGGCUCAACCCAGGAAGUGCAUUUGAAACUGUCUUGCUUGAGUACGGGAGAGGGAAGAGGAAUUCCUGGUGUAGAGGUGAAAUUCGUAGAUAUCAGGAGGAACACCGGUGGCGAAGGCGACUUCCUGGCCCGAUACUGACGCUGAGACGCGAGAGCGUGGGGAGCAAACAGG
RNAcentral lists this ribosomal RNA (253 nucleotides) under uncultured prokaryote. RNAcentral describes it as "partial 16S ribosomal RNA". It matches the Rfam family "Bacterial small subunit ribosomal RNA", at positions 524 to 776 of the family's 1533-position model. The record is from RNAcentral.